RNAcentral lists this ribosomal RNA (504 nucleotides) under uncultured bacterium. Its description in RNAcentral is "partial 16S ribosomal RNA". It matches the Rfam family "Bacterial small subunit ribosomal RNA", at positions 29 to 523 of the family's 1533-position model. The record is from RNAcentral.
AUUGAACGCUGGCGGCGGGCCUAACACAUGCAAGUCGGACGGUAGCACAGAGAGCUUGCUCUCGGGUGACGAGUGGCGGACGGGUGAGUAAUGUCUGGGGAUCUGCCCGAUAGAGGGGGAUAACCACUGGAAACGGUGGCUAAUACCGCAUAACGUCGCAAGACCAAAGAGGGGGACCUUCGGUCCUCUCACUAUCGGAUGAACCCAGAUGGGAUUAGCUAGUAGGCGGGGUAAUGGCCCACCUAGGCGACGAUCCCUAGCUGGUCUGAGAGGGUGACCAGCCACACUGGAACUGAGACACGGUCCAGGCUCCUACGGGAGGCAGCAGUGGGGAAUAUUGCACAAUGGGCGCAAGCCUGAUGCAGCCAUGCCGCGUGUAUGAAGAAGGCCUUCGGGUUGUAAAGUACUUUCAGCGGGGAGGAAGGCGAUGUGGUUAAUAACCGCGUCGAUUGACGUUACCCGCAGAAGAAGCACCGGCUAACUCCGUGCCAGCAGCCGCAGUAA